This 26-nucleotide non-coding RNA is filed under the name Mus musculus (house mouse). The record is from RNAcentral. Lineage: Eukaryota; Metazoa; Chordata; Mammalia; Rodentia; Muridae.
UAACCUCACUGCCCACUCUGUGGCUA